AUGGAAAUGAUGAUACUUUCCUCAUAUGAUCGACGCUGAUUCAAACAGUGCUAUCUUUUCCCUCUGGGAGUUCCAAGCCAGGUUUCUGAUCCUU
Molecule: non-coding RNA, 94 nt
Organism: Amborella trichopoda
Lineage: Eukaryota; Viridiplantae; Streptophyta; Magnoliopsida; Amborellales; Amborellaceae
Source: Rfam